RNAcentral lists this ribosomal RNA (468 nucleotides) under uncultured bacterium. RNAcentral describes it as "partial 16S ribosomal RNA". It matches the Rfam family "Bacterial small subunit ribosomal RNA", at positions 28 to 507 of the family's 1533-position model. The record is from RNAcentral.
GACGAACGCUGGCGGCGUGCUUAACACAUGCAAGUCGAACGGAAAGGCCCUGCUUUUGUGGGGUGCUCGAGUGGCGAACGGGUGAGUAACACGUGAGUAACCUGCCCUUGACUUUGGGAUAACUUCAGGAAACUGGGGCUAAUACCGGAUAGGAGCUCCUGCUGCAUGGUGGGGGUUGGAAAGUUUCGGCGGUUGGGGAUGGACUCGCGGCUUAUCAGCUUGUUGGUGGGGUAGUGGCUUACCCAGGCUUUGACGGGUAGCCGGCCUGAGAGGGUGACCGGCCACAUUGGGACUGAGAGACGGCCCAGACUCCUACGGGAGGCAGCAGUGGGGAAUAUUGCACAAUGGGCGGAAGCCUGAUGCAGCAACGCCGCGUGCGGGAUGACGGCCUGCGGGUUGUAAACCGCUUUCGCCUGUGACGAAGCGUGAGUGACGGUAAUGGGUAAAGAAGCACCGGCUAACUACGUG